RNAcentral lists this ribosomal RNA (492 nucleotides) under uncultured bacterium. RNAcentral describes it as "bacterial SSU rRNA". It matches the Rfam family "Bacterial small subunit ribosomal RNA", at positions 28 to 526 of the family's 1533-position model. The record is from RNAcentral.
GACGAACGCUGGCGGCGUGCUUAACACAUGCAAGUCGAGCGGUAAGGCCCUUUCGGGGGUACACGAGCGGCGAACGGGUGAGUAACACGUGAGUAAUCUGCCCUUCACUUCGGGAUAACCAUCGGAAACGGUGGCUAAUACCGGAUAUGACUCGUCCCUGCAUGGGGGUGGGUGGAAAGUUUUUUCGGUGGAGGAUGUGCUCGCGGCCUAUCAGCUUGUUGGUGAGGUAACGGCUCACCAAGGCUUCGACGGGUAGCCGGCCUGAGAGGGUGACCGGCCACACUGGGACUGAGACACGGCCCAGACUCCUACGGGAGGCAGCAGUGGGGAAUAUUGGACAAUGGGCGGAAGCCUGAUCCAGCAACGCCGCGUGAGGGAUGACGGCCUUCGGGUUGUAAACCUCUUUCAGUACCGACGAAGCGCCCGUGAGGGUGGUGACGGUAGGUACAGAAGAAGGACCGGCCAACUACGUGCCAGCAGCCGCCGUAACAC